GUAAAGGAGUCAUUAUCAGACUGAAGCAAUUUAAAUGGAGUCCAAGAGAAAUGGGAUUAUUUAAAAGUUGCACUGCUGAAGGCAACAGAAAAUUGCAUUAGGCUUGUCAGUAAAAGCAAAAAAUUUAAGAAACCACUGUGGCACUCCGCAGAUGUGGCCAAAAUAGUAAAAAAACUAGAAGAUAGACAGAUCUAUGAGAUUAGACAGAAAGAGG
This is a non-coding RNA of Pelobates cultripes (western spadefoot toad), 214 nucleotides long. The record is from the annotation of a GenBank genome assembly. Lineage: Eukaryota; Metazoa; Chordata; Amphibia; Anura; Pelobatidae.